RNAcentral lists this ribosomal RNA (440 nucleotides) under uncultured soil bacterium. RNAcentral describes it as "bacterial SSU rRNA". It matches the Rfam family "Bacterial small subunit ribosomal RNA", at positions 26 to 458 of the family's 1533-position model. The record is from RNAcentral.
AGAACGAACGUUGGCGGCGUGGAUUAGGCAUGCAAGUCGAACGCGAACCUUGGGGGUAACUCUGAGGGGAGAGUGGCGAAAGGGGGCAGUAAGGCGUGGGUAACGUACCCUCCGGACCGGGAUAGCCGCGGGAAACUGCGGGUAAUACCGGGCGACGCAAGCUAGGGGCAUCUCCGGCUUGCCAAAGGUCCGCCGCCGGGGGAGCGGCUCACGUGGUAUUACCUAGUUGGCGGGGUAACGGCCCACCGAAGGGGAAGAUGCCUAGCGGGUGUGAGAGCACGACCCGCGCCACUGGCACUGAGACACUGGCCAGUACUCCGUACGGGAGGCUGCAGUCGAGGAUCUUCGGCAAGUGGCGCAAGCCUGGACCGAGCGACGCCGCGUGUGCGAUGAACGGUCGUUCGGUGUAAGGCACGUGGUCGGGAGGGGGAAGGAAACGG